AUGUUACCUCUUAAUAUUCCUGGUCACCCACAACCUGUAAUGGAAAUACCCGAGAUAAAAGCAGCGGUGCACCUUCUUCGCGGGAUAAGGAGUCUUCCAAUGCCUAGGCAAAAUAUGACAAAUGCGCCUGCAGAGAUAGAAGAACCAAUUGUUAGUGACUUGCUUGAUUGGCUCUGGAAAACAUAUGGAUUUCAGAAAUGUAACGUGGAUAAUCAGAAGGAGCAUUUGGUUUUGCUGCUUGCUAACAUGGAUAUGAAAAGGGAAGGACAAAGUCACAAGAUACAUCGUAACACGAUUGAUACCUUGAUGAAGAAACUUUUUCAAAAUUACAUUUCAUGGUGCAUGUACCUCCAUUUGGAGUCAAACAUCAAAAUUUCACAUGAUUCCUCCACGCAACAACCAGAGCUUCUUUACAUAGGGUUGUAUCUGCUGAUUUGGGGUGAAGCUUCUAAUGUUCGCUUUAUGCCUGAAUGCCUGUGUUAUAUCUUCCACCAUAUGGCAAGAGAUUUGUAUGACAUAAUAUUGAAUGAGAGAGAAGGCUCUUUUGACCCAGUCUUCCAUCGAGAGGGGAGUGAUGAUGCCUUCCUACAGCUAAUUAUCCAACCCAUCUACAAUGUUAUUCAAAAUGAAGCUGCAAUGAGUAAGAAUGGUACUGUCUGCCACUCGAAGUGGAGAAACUAUGAUGACCUGAAUGAAUACUUUUGGUCAAAGAAAUGCUUCAAGCAGCUAGGAUGGCCUAUGGAUUUAGCCUCUGACUUUUUCACGCAUCAUACUAGAAGUGUAUGGAAUAUGCAGCGACAUGAACAUUUAGUUAGCAGGCGGAGCAUGUCCAAAACAAAUUUUGCUGAAGUUCGUACAUUUUUUCAUCUCUUCAAAAGUUUUGAUCGAAUGUGGACUUUCUUGAUUUUAGCUUUCCAGGCCAUGGUAAUUAUUGCAUGGAGCCCUUCUGGAUCAGUUUUUGCUAUAUUUGAAUUGGUUGUUUUCAGAAAUGUCAUGACAAUAUUCAUAACAUCAGCAUUUCUAAACUUCCUUCAAGCCACACUUGAAAUAGUUCUUAAUUGGAAGGCUUGGAGGAGCCUACUGUGCUCGCAGAUGAUACGGCAUGUUCUAAAAUUUGUUGUAGCUAUUAGCUGGAUGAUAAUUCUUCCAGUGACGUACUCAACAUCCAUUCAAAAUAAGACAAUCCUGAGGAAGUUCUUCAGAGAUUGGAUUGGAAAUUUCCAGAGUCAAUCUAUUUAUAAUUUUGCAGUUGCUCUUUACAUAUUGCCGAACCUUUUCAGUGCCUUAUUUUUCAUAUUUCAACCAAUUCGAAGGACAUUGGAGGGUUCCAAUUCUCGUACCAUUGAAUUUCUUUUGUGGUGGAUGCAGCCAAAACUAUAUGUCGCGCGAGGCAUGUAUGAGGACACAUGUUCACGUCUUAAGUACACAUCAUUCUGGAUUCUAUUGCUAAUAUCCAAGCUCGCCUUCAGUUAUUAUGUUGAGAUUUCUCCUUUAGUUGAAUCUACCAGGAUAAUUUUGCAUUUGGGUCAAAAGCAAUACAUCUGGCACGAAUUCUUUCCACACUCGCAUCAUAAUUUAGAUGUUGUUUUUACUAUAUGGGCACCAAUUUUCAUGGUAUACCUCAUGGAUACUCAAAUAUGGUAUGCUAUUUUUUCAACAAUAUGUGGGGGAGUAAAUGGUGCCUUCAGCCGCUUGGGCAAGAUCCAAACCCUCGGGAUGUUAAGAUCAAGAUUCAAUGAAAUCUCAAUAGCUUUUGGUAAACAUCUUGUUCCUACACAUGGUAGUCAACCAAAGAGAGAAGGGCAUAAGGAUGACUUGUUUUUUCAUAUUGAUAAGUUCUCAAACAUAUGGAAUGCAUUCAUUAUGUCGUUACGAGAUGAAGACUUAAUAAGCAAUAGGGAGAGAGAUUUAUUGAUUUUUCCAUCAUAUGUUGGUGACACUAGCGUUUUUCGGUGGCCUAUUUUCCUUCUUGCUAGCAAGAUACCAAUUGCACUUGAAAAGGCAAGGAGUGUCAAGAAAAGUGAUGAAGAAAUACAGAAGAGGAUAAUGCGGGAUCCAUACACCUAUUAUGCCGUAAUAGAGUGCUACGAGACAUUGUUAGAUAUUCUCUACAGCCUUAUAGCAGAAACACGUGAUAUGAUAGUUGUCGAUCGAAUACGUGAGGCACUUGAAGAGAGCAUACGUUGUCAGUCACUUGUGAGAGAUUUCCGAUUGGAUCAACUUCCUCUACUAACUCCUAAGUUUGAUAAGCUUCUAAUUAUAUUAUUGGUACUGAAAAUUGAGCAAGAGGAGAAGGACACAACAAUAAAGACACAGAUUGCAAAUCUAUUAAAAGAUACAAUGGAAAUCAUCACACAGGAUAUCAUGAAGAACGGACAAGGCUUUCUUGCAAAUCCCAGUAUUUUGAAGGGAGAGCUAUUUGCAAAUCUAAAUCUGGACUCAAUAAAGGAUGGAGCUUGGAGGGGGAAGUGUGUUAGGCUUCAACAGUUGUUGGCAGCUAAAGAAGCUGCAAUUUGUGUACCAACAAACGUGGAAGCUCGGCGAAGGAUCACUUUCUUUGCAAACUCACUAUUUAUGAAAAUGCCAAGGGCUCCACAAGUCUCUAGCAUGAUGUCCUUCAGUAUUCUCACUACGUACUUCAAAGAGGGGGCGCACUUUUCAAGAGAAGAUCUCCAUAUAAAAAAUGAGGAUGGGAUAUCUAUCCUGUUUUAUUUACGGAAAAUAUAUCUAGAUGAAUGGAAUAAUUUUCUUGAGCGCAUAAAAUUUGUUCCGAAGGAUGAGGAGUCCCUUGAAUCAAGGAUGGAUGAUAUCUCACUUUGGGCAUCUUAUAGGGGACAAACGCUCACCAGAACUGUGAGAGGAAUGAUGUACUACAGGAGGGCACUUGAAUUACAAUGUAUUCAUGAUAAAAUGGAUAUUGCUAAAUUGGACCUGCAAAGAACAACAUCAUCACAUCAAGAGGGGGGAUCCAAUAUUGUAGAUAUGGCAAUGGCCAUUACUGAUAUCAAAUUCACCUAUGUUGUCUCCUGUCAAGUCUAUGGAAUGCAAAAAGUAUCCAAGGAUCCCAGAGAUAAAGCUCACUAUCUGAACAUCCUUAACCUCAUGAUAAUGUACCCGUCAUUACGUGUUGCUUAUAUUGAUGAGGUAGAAGCUCCGACAAGAAAUGGAAUGACAGAGAAAACCUAUUAUUCUGUUCUCGUCAAAGGAGUGGGUGACAAAUAUGACGAGGAAAUUUACCGCAUCAAGCUUCCUGGCAAACCCACCCAUAUUGGAGAGGGAAAACCAGAAAAUCAAAAUCAUGCCCUAAUUUUCACCAGGGGAGAAGCAAUCCAGGCCACUAAUAUGAAUCAGGAUAAUUACCUCGAGGAGGCAUUUAAAAUGAGAAAUCUGUUGGAGGAGUUCAAGAGUACCAAAUAUGGAAAUAGAAAACCCACUAUAUUGGGUCUUCGGGAACAUCUUUUUACUGGAAGUGUUUCAUCACUAUCUAGGUUUGUAUCAAAUCAAGAGACCAGCUUUGCUACGAUUGGACAGCGAGUUCUGGCCAAUCCUCUCAAAGUUCGCUUCGAUUACGGACAUCCUGAUGUUUUUGAUAGACUCUUCCAUAUUACUAGGGGUGGCAUAAGUAAAGCUUCGAAGACUAUAAAUUUAAGCGAAUAUAUCUUUUCAGGUUUUAAUUCAAUAAUGAGAGACGGAAAUAUAACAUAUCAUGAGUACAUGCAAGUUGGUAAAGGACGUGAUGUGGGAAUGAACCAAAUUUCAAGCUUCGAAGCUAAGGUUGCUCAUGGCAAUGGUGAACAAACCUUGAGUCGUGACAUCUAUCGUCUCGGACGCAGAUUUGACUUCUAUAGAAUGCUAUCUAUCUACUUCACUACAGUUGGGUUCUAUUUCAGUAGCAUGGUUACUAUACUUACGGUCUAUAUCUUUUUGUAUGGGAGGUUAUAUCUCGUCAUGAGUGGUUUGGAAAAGUCAAUUUUGCUGGAUCCACGUAUUCUGGAGAACAUCAAGCCUCUCGAAAAUGCAAUGUGUUUAGAAUCUGUUUUCCAGCUUGGUUUGUUGCUUGUCCUUCCUAUGGUAACGGAAAUCGGCUUAGAGAAGGGAUUCCGCAAAGCGUUAGGAGAGUUUGUUAUCAUGCAGCUUCAGUUGGCACCUGUAUUCUUCACGUUCCAACUUGGCACCAAAACCCACUACUAUGGGAGAACAAUCCUCCACAAUUGCUCGCAAAACAGACCGACAGGUCGUGGAUUCGUUGUGUCCCAUGCAAAGUUCGCUGACAAUUAUCGCAUGUACUCCCGCAGUCACUUUGUAAAAGGAUUUGAACUGCUGAUACUUCUGGUUGUCUAUGUAGCUUAUGGAAGUUCCUAUCGCAGCUCGAAGUUGAACCUAUUUGUCACUUUCUCGAUAUGGUUCCUGGUUGGAUCUUGGCUCUUUGCACCAUUUAUUUUCAAUCCAUCAUGUUUUGACUGGCACAAGACAGUUGAUGACUGGACAGAUUGGAGGAACUGGAUGGGGAACCGAGGGGGUAUUGGCAUGGCUGUCGAACAAAGCUGGGAAGCUUGGUGGAUAGGUGAGCAGGAGCACCUAAGGAAAACUAGCAUCCGUGCUCUUCUCUUUGAACUCAUCCUUUCGCUUCGUUUCUUGAUCUACCAAUAUGGUAUUGUGUAUCAUCUAAACAUUGCACACAGCAGCAGAGGCAUUCUGGUCUAUGCAUUGUCAUGGCUGGUUAUGCUCACGGUCCUAGUAGUUUUAAAGGUGCUUUCAAUAGGACGGCAGAAAUUUAGGAACAACCUGCAGUUUAUGUCCCACAUCCUUAAGGGCCUUCUAUUCCUUGGCUUUCUCUCCGUGAUGGUGGUCCUAUUUGUUAUAUACCAACUCACAAUUUCUGAUGUCUUCGCUAGCAUUCUUGGGUUCGUGCCUACUGGUUGGUGGAUCCUUCUGAUUGGGCAAGCAUGCUCUCCAUUGGUUAAGAAGAUUAUGCUGUGGGACUCCAUCAUGGAGCUUGGCAGGGCAUACGAGAACAUCAUGGGUCUCAUUCUGUUCCUUCCCAUCGGCUUCUUGUCGUGGUUUCCCUUUGUCUCGGAGUUCCAGACACGGUUUCUCUUCAACCAAGCCUUCAGCAGGGGCCUCCAGAUCUCAAGAAUCCUUGCCGGCCAGAAGGACAUUGGGGAGUUCGAUUGA
RNAcentral lists this ribosomal RNA (5175 nucleotides) under Triticum aestivum (bread wheat). RNAcentral's name for it is "partial small subunit ribosomal RNA". The record is from RNAcentral. Lineage: Eukaryota; Viridiplantae; Streptophyta; Magnoliopsida; Poales; Poaceae.